CGCUGGUAGAGGCAUAAUCAGAGAUCAACUCAAGAAAAGGAAAGAAGGAAGAAAGAGGAAGUUUCAGCCGUCGACUAAUACAGGUUGCAAUGGAGUUUUUGGAAUGAAUUGGAAUUGGUAUUUCAAAUAAAUGCUGAAGUUAUGUGAAAUCACUUAUGGGAAAAACUUCAAACUCUACUUCGUGGUAGUGGCUGAAUAGUAUAAAUAGGGUGAGACAAAGGGAGCGAAGGGUCUCUGGACUACAAAUGAUCAAGCAUUGAUGGUCUUUCAAAAUCUGUAAUUAAAUUGUUAGUGCUGACCGGAAAACCUCUUUCAUUUGGAAUUUUGCAGCCAAAUUGUUUAGCAGGUAUUCUAUUAACUGCUCUCAUGUACUACACUAUCUCUUAUUGUGUUUUUUAAAUUCUCCACUUUCCCCUCAAUUAUCCCAAAAGUGUAUCCAAUCACUAAUUCAGGCUAAGAUAGAUAUAUAUCCCCUGUGUCUAUUGGUUUUGACUUGGUGAUAUCUAUAAUUUACCGAGUUCAUUCUAUCUAUAGUUGUAGCCCUGGACUAUAAAUUAGAUUGUUAGAACUAGGAAAAAAAAAAAGUAGUGGCUGAUCUCAGGAUCUAAACAUGGUAACAUCUGUAGUUGACAGAAGUUUG
Molecule: RNA transcript, 640 nt
Organism: Fragaria vesca subsp. vesca
Lineage: Eukaryota; Viridiplantae; Streptophyta; Magnoliopsida; Rosales; Rosaceae
Exons: 5
Source: RefSeq, a predicted model, not a curated record